CCGUAAGUGCCAGGGGACUGGGACACGGCCGUGGGCAGCGAGCGGUGCCCUCUGGAAGGCCGGCAGCCUGCAGGGUUGGGGACAAUGCGCGGGGGGGUGGGGUGGGGGGAGGAAGGGGGAGCCCUGGGUGCCGCCCGGGCACCACCCCCUCCUCCGAUCCCCUCCCCCGCCUCCUCCUUCUCUUCCUCCUCCUCCUCCUCCUCCAAGCGCUGCCGCCGCGGUCGCUCGGGCCGCUCCUCCCCGGCGAGGGCUUCAGGAGCCUGCUGAGAGGUGUCUUUGGGGAGAGACCCGGAGAAAGCCCUCGCAGGGCUGAGCCGCUUCUCCGUCAGAACCCUGCUUUGGAGUCAUCUUGUCCCCCAUCGGUAGGUACCCGCUUCCUGGGGAGCUUUUGGCCCUGUCCCGGGAAGACUCCUUGGAGGCCCGAGAACGGGGCAGGUGGUUUCUCCAGAGCCCUUGACUGGGGGGGGGGGGUGCGGAGUAAUGGAUGCUCCUCUGGGCCUCCACCCCUUCCAUAUGGGAACCCUAAUUCCUGGGACCACCCCAGGCAAACAUUUCCAGGCCGGCACCUCCCAAAGUUCACUUCUGGGCCCUCCCUUUGGCCCAACAUUCAUUUGGUGUCGUCCAAGGGUGGAGAUCCUCUGGGAGUCCUGCUGAGCCAGAGCCGGGGACUGUGGGGUUCCGCAGGCACUUCUAGCAGCUCCAGCAGGGUGUUGUGUGCUGGGGCAUCCGGACACCCUGGGUCAGUCAAGGAAAGGCUGGUUGUGGCCAGACUAGCCCCACUAGGGAGAGGGGAGGCCGGCUCUGGGCUCUGGGCUCUCCCUGGGGCACCCUCCUAGGCCAAUGGAGCAUGGGUGGGGGGAUCUGGAACCUGCUCCUCUUUAGGCUCCCGCUUGCUCUUCUGUCCAAUGCCAGGGUUGCCCCCGUUGGCCGAGCUUCCUUCCUGCUCUCCUUCCUUCCUAGAAUCCCAACCCCCACAGUGUUUAAGCAUGGAGCAGGCUGACUUGGGGAAGGGAGAGACCUUGGUGUUGUCACUGCAGGGGAUUUCUGCCCCGGUGUGGCCUCAGAGGCUUCCUGCCCCUCCGAUUCUGGGAUGACACCUGUCUGUCUGGGUCCUGCCCUCAUUCCUCUGUAUGGGUGCCCUCAGCUCCUUCCUUGGAGAGGGAAAGCCUGGCUGUGGUCAGUGGGCCCCACUUUCUGCCUCCCCAGGAAGGCCCAGACUGGGAGUGGAGUCAGGGGCAGAGCUAGGGAGGCUGCUUCUUGGGCUGAAGCAAUCCCAGCCUCUCUUGGGAUGGGGUGAGCAGAAUGUUGUGGGGCCACCCAAGAGAAGACCAGAGCUAUUUCCUAGGGAGUGGCGGGUGGGGGCUUCACUCCUCAGGGAGGGGGAUUCCAGUGGUCCCCCAGCUCUGCCCCCCAAAGCCCCUGAGGGUUAAGCAGCUGCAGGGUGCCAGGCACAGCCAGGGAAGGGCUCCUUGGCUCCAUCCCUUCUCUGGGGGGAGGCCCUGGGCCUGAGCGGGUUUGAUGCCUCCUCAGAGGGCCUCCUGCUAGGCACAAAGGCCCAUCUUUGCCCUGUGGGCUUCCCCAGAGGCCUCCAGAAAUCCCAGGAAACACGGACAGAGUAAGUCCACAGGAGGUGCCAAAUCGGUGUUUAUUGGUUGAUAAAUAAGAGGUUUUGGGGGUGACUGCUGGCUGGGAAGCAGGAGAGGCUUCCUGGAGGCCAGGCUGCAGGAGCAGAGCUUUUGGGGAUGCUCCUGUAGGGGAGAGAGAAAGCCUGCUGAGCAAAAGCCCGGAGGUGGGGCCUGGAGCCUUGUGGGCCAAGAACGGGAAACCCAGGGGCGA
Molecule: long non-coding RNA, 1836 nt
Filed under: Monodelphis domestica (gray short-tailed opossum)
Lineage: Eukaryota; Metazoa; Chordata; Mammalia; Didelphimorphia; Didelphidae
Description: lncRNA (ENSMODG00000040844.1)
Source: RNAcentral